This 223-nucleotide unclassified non-coding RNA is filed under the name plant metagenome. RNAcentral's name for it is "partial contains small subunit ribosomal RNA, internal transcribed spacer 1, and 5.8S ribosomal RNA". The record is from RNAcentral.
UCUCCGUAGGUGAACCUGCGGAAAGAUCAUUACAGAGUUGAGACUCCCCCGGGAGCCAUCUCCAAUCCUUGACCACCAACCUCGUUGCUUUGGCGGGCCGCGGCCCUGCAGCCGCCGGCCCCGGCUGGCGCGCCCCCGCCAGAGGCUCUUAAAAUCUUACUUGCAAUGACUCUGAGCGAAAACAAAAUGCGAAAAACUUUCAGCAACGGAUCUCUUGGUUCUG